Homo sapiens (human) is the source of this 1251-nucleotide long non-coding RNA. Ensembl annotates it as small nucleolar RNA host gene 26. Its record names the gene SNHG26. Lineage: Eukaryota; Metazoa; Chordata; Mammalia; Primates; Hominidae. The record is from Ensembl.
GGGGAAGCCUCCGUUAGGGCCCCUCGGGGGUGGGGGCGUCCUCGUGGCGCUUGGGCCCUUCGUCCCGGGUUAGGACGGCCCGUGUCCUUGUGCGCUUGAAGGGGCCGCCCCCUUUCCUCGAGGAUCCCACCCCCACUCAGCAGAAGCCGCCAGGCGCCCGUCACCUCCCGUGCCUGAGUCCCUGCCGUCCACGCAUUCGGCCUACAGGCAGCUUUUAGUCCUUUUUCAAUUAAAUGAUUGCAUUUUGAGGAUCAAAUUCCAACCGCAGGCGGAGGCGCCGAGCCCCGGACGGUCUCUGGGUUCUUGGUGCACUCGGGGCUCCUGCCUGCCCAGGGGCUGUGACCGCGCGGACGGAAGCCUAUUUGGGAAGCGAGUGAGAUCUGAUGUCUGAAGCGCUUUAAGUUUCUAAGCGGGGCAGUAUAAUAGCGGGGUUAGCAAACACACGGAGGUCAUUUCACUCGCGCAGCCAUCCCCCACCGCCACCAGUGCCGUUCAUUUGCUACUGGCCCGCAGUCAGAUAAUUUAAAGGCUUGGAGGGACGAGUCUUGCUGGAGCCGACGCCUACAGCUUGGUGGAGUUUCAAGAUGCUGAUGAACUUAAGGUCUGGCGCUUGAAAGAAUCAGUGAAGCUUUUCAAGUAGAGGAGUACUCUACUUUGAAGAAAGGAAUGGAACAGAAGGUGUCUGCAUAACUAAAUGGGGAUCUAGAGAAAGUGGAGACUGCCUCUGGAGCAGGGAGGAUUAUGCCACCAUGACUAGAAGGCCCCCUAAUGGAGUUUAUCUGCACUGCAAGGGGCCAGUUGUCUCAGAAUCAUCCUCCGUUGACAUCUCCAUCUCCAGGACAGCUCCACACUAAUCUGUUUCAAAGACAAAAUCCAGUCUAAUCAGUUUGAUGUAUGUUUCUGGGAAUAGAGCCGAAUGUUGUAGCUGAUGGAAUGGAGUCUCAUACCAUUGAUUUUGCAGCUGGACAAGUGCCCUGCCAUGUUACUGCCACUCUUUAAGGCAGAAUAGAGCACAUUGUAUCAUUUAUAGGCCUCUCACAGUGAGAAAUAUGUGGAACUUUGGAAAUCAGAAUCUAAAACUGCAGUCCAAUGGGGUAGCCACUAUUCACAUGUGCUAUUGAGUACCUAAAAUGUGGCUAGACCAAGUUGACAUGUGCUGAAGGGUGAAAAACACCAGGAGUGAAGAAUUAACUUGAAAAAAAUGUAAACUAUCUCAAUUUUAUAUUGAUUACAAAUUAAAUGAUGUUUUGA